GACGAACGCUGGCGGCGUGCCUAAUACAUGCAAGUCGAACGCAGUUGCGAACGGGUGAGUAACGCGUAGGUAACUGCCUCAUAGCGGGGGAUAACUAUUGGAAACGAUAGCUAAUACCGCAUACUAUGAGAUGGACCUGCGUUGUAUUAGCUAGUUGGUACGGUAAAGGCUCACCAAGGCGACGAUACAUAGCCGACCUGAGAGGGUGAUAGGCCACACUUGGAACGAGACACGGCCCAGAACCCCACGGGAGGCAGCAGUAGGGAAUCUUCGGAAAUGGACGGAAGUCUGACCGAGCAACGCCCCGGGAGUGAAGAAGGGUUUUCGAUCGUAAAGCUCUGGUGGUAGAGAAGCGGUACCUACCCAGAAAGCGACGGCUAACUACGUGCCAGCAGCCGCGGUAAUUC
Molecule: ribosomal RNA, 407 nt
Filed under: uncultured bacterium
Lineage: Bacteria
Description: partial 16S ribosomal RNA
Rfam family: Bacterial small subunit ribosomal RNA
Source: RNAcentral